UGGAGGGCAUGCGACUCUGGUGGGCGUCGCGGGCUUCAAACCCGUCGUUAGUGUCGGUGCCGAUUUCUAAGGGAGGUUCGAUUCCUCCGCCCUCCAGCCA
Molecule: transfer RNA, 100 nt
Filed under: Helicobacteraceae bacterium
Lineage: Bacteria; Pseudomonadati; Campylobacterota; Epsilonproteobacteria; Campylobacterales; Helicobacteraceae
Description: tRNA-Sec
Rfam family: Selenocysteine transfer RNA
Source: RNAcentral